GACGAACCGUGCGAACGUUAUUCGGAUUCACUGGGCUUAAAGCGCGUGUAGGCGGACAGGCGCGUCCGAGGCUGAAAGCCCCCGGCUCAACCGGGGAACGGGCCCGGAUACGGCUUGUCUGGAGGGGCAUAGGGGGAGCUGGAACUUCCGGUGGAGCGGUGAAAUGCGUUGAGAUCGGAAGGAACGCCCGUGGCGAAAGCGAGCUCCUGGAUGCCUUCUGACGCUGAGACGCGAAAGCCAGGGGAGCGAACGGG
RNAcentral lists this ribosomal RNA (254 nucleotides) under uncultured bacterium. RNAcentral describes it as "partial 16S ribosomal RNA". It matches the Rfam family "Bacterial small subunit ribosomal RNA", at positions 524 to 776 of the family's 1533-position model. The record is from RNAcentral.